GAUGAACGCUGGCGGCGUGCCUAAUACAUGCAAGUCGAGCGAACGGACGAGAAGCUUGCUUUUCUGAUGUUAGCGGCGGACGGGUGAGUAACACGUGGAUAACCUACCUAUAAGACUGGGAUAACUUCGGGAAACCGGAGCUAAUACCGGAUAAUAUUUUGAACCGCAUGGUUCAAAAGUGAAAGACGGUCUUGCUGUCACUUAUAGAUGGAUCCGCGCUGCAUUAGCUAGUUGGUAAGGUAACGGCUUACCAAGGCAACGAUGCAUAGCCGACCUGAGAGGGUGAUCGGCCCCACUGGAACUGAGACACGGUCCAGACUCCUACGGGAGGAAGCAGUAGGGAAUCUUCCGCAAUGGGCGAAAGCCUGACGGAGCAACGCCGCGUGAGUGAUGAAGGUCUUCGGAUCGUAAAACUCUGUUAUUAGGGAAGAACAUAUGUGUAAGUAACUGUGCACAUCUUGACGGUACCUAAUCAGAAAGCCACGGCUAACUACGUG
This 497-nucleotide ribosomal RNA is filed under the name uncultured bacterium. RNAcentral describes it as "partial 16S ribosomal RNA". It matches the Rfam family "Bacterial small subunit ribosomal RNA", at positions 28 to 507 of the family's 1533-position model. The record is from RNAcentral.